GACGAACGCUGGCGGCGUGCUUAACACAUGCAAGUCGAACGAUGAAGCUGGAGCUUGCUCCGGUGGAUUAGUGGCGAACGGGUGAGUAACACGUGAGCAAUCUGCCCUUGACCCUGGGAUAACUGCGGGAAACUGUAGCUAAUACCGGAUACGAGACCUGAAGGCAUCUUCGGGUCUGGAAAGAAUUUCGGUCAAGGAUGAGCUCGCGGCCUAUCAGCUUGUUGGUGAGGUAAUGGCUCACCAAGGCGCCGACGGGUAGCCGGCCUGAGAGGGUGACCGGCCCCGCUGGGAUGGAGUCACGGCCCAGACUCCUCCGGGAGGCAGCAGUGAGGAAUAUUGAACAAUGGGCCGAAGCACGAUGCAGCAACGCCGCGUGAGGGAUGAAGGCCUUCGGGUUGUAAACCUCUUUUAGCAGGGAAGAAGCGAAAGUGACGGUACCUGCAGAAAAAGCACCGGCUAACUACGUGCCAGCCGCCGCGGUAA
This 483-nucleotide ribosomal RNA is filed under the name uncultured bacterium. RNAcentral's name for it is "partial 16S ribosomal RNA". It matches the Rfam family "Bacterial small subunit ribosomal RNA", at positions 28 to 523 of the family's 1533-position model. The record is from RNAcentral.